GCCGGGUGCAGUGGCGCAUACCUGCAAUCCCAGCAUCUCAGGAGGCUGAGACAGGAGGAUCACAAGUUAAAAACCAGCCUCAGCAAUGGCAAGGCACUAAGCAACUCAGUGAGACCCUGUCUCUA
RNAcentral lists this small RNA (125 nucleotides) under Marmota monax (woodchuck). The record is from RNAcentral. Lineage: Eukaryota; Metazoa; Chordata; Mammalia; Rodentia; Sciuridae.